UGCCGGAUGCUCCAGUUGGAUGCAUGUCCUUCUGGGAAAGAUUCAUCGGUAUGGGAUGGGGUCGCGUCCUAUCAGCUUGAUGGCGGGGUAACGGCCCACCAUGGCUUCGACGGGUAGCCGGCCUGAGAGGGCGACCGGCCACAUUGGGACUGAGAUACGGCCCAGACUCCUACGGGAGGCAGCAGUGGGGAAUAUUGCACAAUGGGCGCAAGCCUGAUGCAGCGACGCCGCGUGCGGGAUGACGGCCUUCGGGUUGUAAACCGCUUUUGACUGGGAGCAAGCCCUUCGGGGUGAGUGUACCUUUCGAAUAAGCACCGGCUAACUACGUGCCAGCAGCCGCGGUAAUACGUAGGGUGCAAGCGUUAUCCGGAAUUAUUGGGCGUAAAGGGCUCGUAGGCGGUUCGUCGCGUCCGGUGUGAAAGUCCAUCGCUUAACGGUGGAUCCGCGCCGGGUACGGGCGG
RNAcentral lists this ribosomal RNA (461 nucleotides) under uncultured Bifidobacterium sp. Its description in RNAcentral is "bacterial SSU rRNA". It matches the Rfam family "Bacterial small subunit ribosomal RNA", at positions 167 to 639 of the family's 1533-position model. The record is from RNAcentral. Lineage: Bacteria; Bacillati; Actinomycetota; Actinomycetes; Bifidobacteriales; Bifidobacteriaceae.